GAUGAACGCUGGCGGCGUGCCUAAUACAUGCAAGUCGAGCGAACAGACGAGGAGCUUGCUCCUCUGACGUUAGCGGCGGACGGGUGAGUAACACGUGGAUAACCUACCUAUAAGACUGGGAUAACUUCGGGAAACCGGAGCUAAUACCGGAUAAUAUAUUGAACCGCAUGGUUCAAUAGUGAAAGACGGUUUUGCUGUCACUUAUAGAUGGAUCCGCGCCGCAUUAGCUAGUUGGUAAGGUAACGGCGUACCAAGGCAACGAUGCGUAGCCGACCUGAGAGGGUGAUCGUCCACUCUGGAACGUAGAAACCAUCCAGACACCAACGGAAGGCAGCAGUUGGCAAUCUACAGCAAUGGGCGACAGCCUGACGCAGCAACGCCGCGUGCGUGAUGAAGGUCUUCGGAUCGUAACCCCCUCUUAUUAGGGAAAAACAAAUGUGUAAGUAACUAUGCACCUCUUGACGCUACCUAAUCAGAAAGCCACGGCUAACUACGU
This 496-nucleotide ribosomal RNA is filed under the name uncultured bacterium. RNAcentral describes it as "partial 16S ribosomal RNA". It matches the Rfam family "Bacterial small subunit ribosomal RNA", at positions 28 to 506 of the family's 1533-position model. The record is from RNAcentral.